RNAcentral lists this unclassified non-coding RNA (205 nucleotides) under Hevea brasiliensis (rubber tree). The record is from RNAcentral. Lineage: Eukaryota; Viridiplantae; Streptophyta; Magnoliopsida; Malpighiales; Euphorbiaceae.
GCCAAAUGGGAUGAACAACCUCUGAAAGCCAUCGAUCCGGAAGGUCCAGCAUCGCCUGAGAUCCAGAUAGCUGCUACUUCGAUCACAUCUCUGUACCGUGUGAAUGCUCGUGAUGCAAUGAGCUGUUAGUAAAGAAGAGUGUUUGAAAGCAAUCGGAAUAGUGUCAGACCUGUAUGGUAGGUUCUGUUAGGGAGUAUCGAUGAAU